CUACGGGUGGCACCAGUGAGGAAUAUUGCACAAUGGGGGGAACCCUGAUGCAGCAACGCCGCAUGGAGGAUGACGCAUUUCGGUGUGUAAACUCCUUUCAUAUGUCAAGAAAAUGACGGUAGCAUAUGAAUAAGCACCGGCUAACUCCGUGCCAGCAGCCGCGGUAAUACGGAGGGUGCAAGCGUUACUCGGAAUCACUGGGCGUAAAGGACGCGUAGGCGGGUUGGAAAGUCAGGUGUGAAAUCCUACAGCUUAACUGUAGAACUGCACUUGAAACUUCUAAUCUAGAGUAUGGGAGGGGGAGAUGGAAUUAGUGGUGUAGGGGUAAAAUCCGUAGAUAUCACUAGGAAUACCUAAAGCGAAGGCGAUCUCCUGGAACAUUACUGACGCUAAGGCGUGAAAGCGUGGGGAGCAAACAGGAUUAGAUACCCGGGUAGUC
RNAcentral lists this ribosomal RNA (439 nucleotides) under uncultured bacterium. RNAcentral's name for it is "partial 16S ribosomal RNA". It matches the Rfam family "Bacterial small subunit ribosomal RNA", at positions 339 to 795 of the family's 1533-position model. The record is from RNAcentral.